ACGAAACGGCGAGCUCUAAUACAGUUUGCUAAUGACGGUACCGUAAGAAUAAGCACCGGCUAACUACGUGCCAGCAGCCGCGGUAAUACGUAGGGUGCGAGCGUUAAUCGGAAUUACUGGGCGUAAAGCGUGCGCAGGCGGUGAUGUAAGACAGAUGUGAAAUCCCCGGGCUCAACCUGGGACCUGCAUUUGUGACUGCAUCGCUAGAGUACGGCAGAGGGGGAUGGAAUUCCGCGUGUAGCAGUGAAAUGCGUAGAUAUGCGGAGGAACACCGAUGGCGAAGGCAAUCCCCUGGGCCUGUACUGACGCUCAUGCACGAAAGCGUGGGGAGCAAACAGGAUUAGAUACCCUGGUAGUCCACGCCCUAAACGAUGUCAACUGGUUGUUGGGUCUUCACUGACUCAGUAACGAAGCUAAC
Molecule: ribosomal RNA, 418 nt
Filed under: Comamonadaceae bacterium
Lineage: Bacteria; Pseudomonadati; Pseudomonadota; Betaproteobacteria; Burkholderiales; Comamonadaceae
Description: bacterial SSU rRNA
Rfam family: Bacterial small subunit ribosomal RNA
Source: RNAcentral